RNAcentral lists this ribosomal RNA (936 nucleotides) under uncultured organism. RNAcentral's name for it is "bacterial SSU rRNA". It matches the Rfam family "Bacterial small subunit ribosomal RNA", at positions 553 to 1498 of the family's 1533-position model. The record is from RNAcentral.
AUUGGGUUUAAAGGGUGCGUAGGUUGAUUAUUAAGUCAGUGGUGAAAUUCCGGGCUCAACCCGGGACUUGCCGUUGAAACUGAUAAUCUUGAGUGUAACUGAUGUGGGCGGAAUGUGUCAAGUAGCGGUGAAAUGCAUAGAUAUGACACAGAACACCGAUUAGCGAAGGCAGCUCACAAAAUUACAACUGACACUGAGGGCACGAAAGCGUGGGUAUCAAACAGGAUUAGAUACCCUGGUAGUCCACGCUGUAAACGAUGAUCACUAGCUGUUUGCGAUACAUUGUAAGUGGUUAAGCGAAAGCGAUAAGUGAUCCACCUGGGGAGUACGUCGGCAACGAUGAAACUCAAAGGAAUUGACGGGGGCCCGCACAAGCGGAGGAGCAUGUGGUUUAAUUCGAUGAUACGCGAGGAACCUUACCUGGGCUUGAACGUAUGGUGCAUGAGUGUGAAAGCACUCUUUCCUUCACAGGACUUCAUACGAGGUGCUGCAUGGUUGUCGUCAGCUCGUGCCGUGAGGUGUUAGGUUAAGUCCUGCAACGAGCGCAACCCCUGUUUUUAGUUGCCAGCAGGUUAUGCUGGGCACUCUAGAAAGACUGCCUGCGCAAGCAGAGAGGAAGGUGGGGAUGACGUCAAAUCAGCACGGCCCUUACGUCCAGGGCUACACACGUGCUACAAUGGUCGGCACAGAGGGUGGCUACCCGGCAACGGGAUGCUAAUCUCCAAAGUCGAUCUUAGUUCGGAUCGAAGUCUGCAACUCGACUUCGUGAAGUUGGAUUCGCUAGUAAUCGUAUAUCAGCCAUGAUACGGUGAAUACGUUCCCGGGCCUUGUACACACCGCCCGUCAAGCCAUGGAAGUUGGGGGUACCUGAAGUCGAUUACCGUAAGGGAUUGCCUAGGGUAAAACCGAUCACUGGGGCUAAGUCGUAACAAGGUA